RNAcentral lists this ribosomal RNA (433 nucleotides) under uncultured bacterium. RNAcentral's name for it is "partial 16S ribosomal RNA". It matches the Rfam family "Bacterial small subunit ribosomal RNA", at positions 29 to 507 of the family's 1533-position model. The record is from RNAcentral.
AACGAACGCUGGCGGCAUGCCUAACACAUGCAAGUCGAACGAGACCUUCGGGUCUAGUUGCGCACGGGUGCGUAACGCGUGGGAACCUGCCCUUAGGUUCGGAAUAACUCCCCGAAAGGGGUGCUAAUACCGGAUAAUGUCUUCGGACCAAAGAUUUAUCGCCUUUGGAUGGGCCCGCGUUGGAUUAGCUAGUUGGUAGGGUAAAAGCCUACCAAGGCGACGAUCCAUAGCUGGUCUGAGAGGAUGAUCAGCCACACUGGGACUGAGACACGGCCCAGACUCCUACGGGAGGCAGCAGUGGGGAAUAUUGGACAAUGGGCGAAAGCCUGAUCCAGCAAUGCCGCGUGAGUGAAGAAGGCCUUAGGGUUGUAAAGCUCUUUUACCCGGGAUGAUAAUGACAGUACCGGGAGAAUAAGCUCCGGCUAACUCCGUG